Molecule: long non-coding RNA, 273 nt
Organism: Tyto alba (common barn owl)
Lineage: Eukaryota; Metazoa; Chordata; Aves; Strigiformes; Tytonidae
Exons: 3
Source: RefSeq, a predicted model, not a curated record
GUUCCUGGCCGCAGCGGUGACCUCCAGCAGAGGAGCUGCAGCUACGUGGGUGGAAAAGGUGCUUUGCUUGGUGCAGCCCUGGAUUCAUCCCACCCUAAAUUUGCCUGAGGUGCCUGUCUCCGGAGCACAGACAUACUUGGGCUCCCUCUGUUGUCGAUGGAGCGAAGCACCUGCGGAAGGUGACCCAGCUCUCAGGUCGCUUGCAUUUCACAAGAGUCUUGUCUAUGUCCAUGAUGAUGAGUGUGGCGGGGCCAAAUCCAUGGGACAUCUGGG